AGGUACUAAAAUUUUAAAAAUACAAUGAAUCCACAAAAUGAAGAGGAUGUUAUUGAACAAACUGGACUUGAAAACUAUAGAUAUCAAUGGACUAGUCAAACCACAAAACUUUUGAUAGAAGAAGUAAGAAAUCAUAUCCCAGCAAACCAAUAUGUAACUGUUACAUAACCUAGGAAGCACAUAAAAAGAACAAUGUUAUGUUUCACGAUUAUAUAGACGAGAUGUAAGUGUUAUAUAACCUUGAAAGCACUUUAGAACAUAGUUAUAUUUCUUCGUUACGUAUAUAACUCAAGAUAGUUCUUUAAAAAGGUAAUAUAACACACACAUAACUCGUGAUACAUAACAUAAAUAUAACAACUGUAAUCGUUUAGCAAUAUAACAAAUGUUAUAUUACUAAUACAUAUAGAAUAUAUUAUUACAGAUAUUCAUUUAUUAUAAUAUAUUUGCGAUGUAACUUUAGUAACACACAAGUUAUUUUUUUCUCCUUAUAAAUUGGGAUUAUAGUUCAUGCACUUACCGCUAUGUGGCACGUUAUUUACUAUCUAUACCCGUAUUCAAGUUUCUAUCAAGCGUAUAUAAAGCCUGCGAAAUGCGGCUAAUAAAACAUUGUAAUAAUUA
Formica exsecta is the source of this 618-nucleotide long non-coding RNA. RefSeq lists it as uncharacterized. The transcript has 2 exons. Lineage: Eukaryota; Metazoa; Arthropoda; Insecta; Hymenoptera; Formicidae. The record is from RefSeq and is a predicted model, not a curated record.